CACCAGCUCUUCGAGUGGUGUGGAUGUUUAUUGGGCCUAAAGCAUCCGUAGCUGGCUGGGCAAGUCCCCUGUUAAAUCCACCGAUUUAAUCGUUGGAGUGCGGGGGAUACUGCUCGGCUAGGGGACGGGAGAGGCAGACGGUAUUUUCGGGGUAGGGGUGAAAUCCUAUAAUCCCGGGAAGACCACCAGUGGCGAAGGCUGUCUGCUAGAACGCGCCCGACGGUGAGGGAUGAAAGCUGGGGGAGCGAACCGGAUUAGAUACCCGGGUAGUCCCAGCUGUAAACGAUGCAGGCUAGGUGUUUGGACGGCCACGUGCCGUUCUAGUGCCGCAGGGAAGCCGUUAAGCCUGCCGCCUGGGGAGUACGGCCGCAAGGCUGAAACUUAAGGAUUGGCGGGGAGCACCACAAGGGGUGAAGCUUGCGGUUU
This 426-nucleotide ribosomal RNA is filed under the name uncultured archaeon. Its description in RNAcentral is "bacterial SSU rRNA". It matches the Rfam family "Archaeal small subunit ribosomal RNA", at positions 474 to 903 of the family's 1478-position model. The record is from RNAcentral.